RNAcentral lists this ribosomal RNA (648 nucleotides) under uncultured Ruegeria sp. Its description in RNAcentral is "bacterial SSU rRNA". It matches the Rfam family "Bacterial small subunit ribosomal RNA", at positions 37 to 736 of the family's 1533-position model. The record is from RNAcentral. Lineage: Bacteria; Pseudomonadati; Pseudomonadota; Alphaproteobacteria; Rhodobacterales; Roseobacteraceae.
UGGCGGCAGGCUACACUGCAGGUCGAGCGCGCCUUCGGGUGAGCGGCGGACGGGUUAGUAACGCGUGGGAACGUGCCCUUCUCUACGGAAUAGCCUCUGGAAACGGAGAGUAAUACCGUAUACGCCCUUUGGGGGAAAGAUUUAUCGGAGAAGGAUCGGCCCGCGUUAGAUUAGGUAGUUGGUGGGGUAACGGCCUACCAAGCCUACGAUCUAUAGCUGGUUUUAGAGGAUGAUCAGCAACACUGGGACUGAGACACGGCCCAGACUCCUACGGGAGGCAGCAGUGGGGAAUCUUAGACAAUGGGGGCAACCCUGAUCUAGCCAUGCCGCGUGAGUGAUGAAGGCCUUAGGGUCGUAAAGCUCUUUCGCCUGUGAUGAUAAUGACAGUAGCAGGUAAAGAAACCCCGGCUAACUCCGUGCCAGCAGCCGCGGUAAUACGGAGGGGGUUAGCGUUGUUCGGAAUUACUGGGCGUAAAGCGCGCGUAGGCGGAUUAGAAAGUUGGGGGUGAAAUCCCGGGGCUCAACCCCGGAACUGCCUCCAAAACUGCUAGUCUAGAGUUCGAGAGAGGUGAGUGGAAUUCCGAGUGUAGAGGUGAAAUUCGUAGAUAUUCGGAGGAACACCAGUGGCGAAUGCGGCUCACUGGCUCG